AUGCAUUUGGUUCAUGCUAGAAACAAAAAAUCUAUUUGUAACUAACUUGAACACUUUGUUGCUUACUUGAAAUGUUACUAACCUAUUGACGCGAGGACAAAUAUUUAUGAUGAAUGCACUCGAUUACUCAGUUGGCCAUAGUUUCAAGUGGCUGUUAGCACUACUCAUAGUCAUUUGACUAACACUUUUAUAGCUAUCUUGAAUGUUACUAAUCUUUUGACGUGAGGGAAAAUAUUUGUAAUGAAUGCAACUAAUUACUCGAUCACAAUAUCAUUUGACUAAAGGAGUAGUUUAUUAUUUUUGCUCUCUUUUUCUUCUUUUUUUUUCUUUUGUAG
RNAcentral lists this long non-coding RNA (335 nucleotides) under Carica papaya (papaya). Its description in RNAcentral is "long non-coding RNA (CPAP_LNC009004)". Lineage: Eukaryota; Viridiplantae; Streptophyta; Magnoliopsida; Brassicales; Caricaceae. The record is from RNAcentral.